Long non-coding RNA from Mus musculus (house mouse), 821 nucleotides. RefSeq annotates it as predicted gene, 40008. NCBI's taxonomy places the organism in Eukaryota, Metazoa, Chordata, Mammalia, Rodentia, Muridae. The transcript is spliced from 3 exons. The record is from RefSeq and is a predicted model, not a curated record.
UCUUAAUAAGAUGCUUGGGGCACUAAAAGCCAGGCUCAAAAGGAAGAAAUUACUGAUCUAAUGAGAGAGGGAGUAGCGUUAAUUCUCAGCUUACUUCUCGUUUCUUGGCGAUGUAAAUGCCAGGAAGCCUUAUUCACACAUGAAUAAACUGAGGGGGAGAAAGGAGCUCUGUACCAGUGAUCCCACCCCAUUGUCUAAGCUCCUUCAGAGCAAGGAGCCGGAAAGCACACCAGAAUUCAUCAUACGGUUUAUUUUUAAUGCUCUGUGAGCUGACAGCUCAGUGGGUUCUGGGUACCAGAGUGCAGAAACAGAAGAAUGGGAGCUGCCGAGAGUGUGGAGGACUCAUCCCCUAGACUUUAGCAUCCUCCAUCUCCUCCACAUUGACUCCGGGGUUUAGAACCCUUGUGAGGCUGUAAGACCCCAACCCUCAGUCAGUGGCACUUACUUCACGAUGCCCCUGAGUGAGACACCGAGACGAAGAUUGAUGCAAAAGCAAGAGGUUUAUUUUCCAGCGCAUCAGGGUCAACCUCAAUCAGUCCUUCAAGGAUGGUCAUACACCCAGAGUUCUGGGAGACACCACACGGCAUGAGACUCCGAGAGGACAAAGCAAGCAACUGCCAGCGGUGGAGCCAGGACCAAACACCUUUGACCAGCCAGUUCUCCAGGUCAACCUGAAGUUGUUUAAAAAGCAGAAAGAAAGCUCAAAUGAGCAAGAGACUCACAUUUAUUUUAUCAAUUAAAUGUAUUCUUUGAUGAUACUGCACAUAAACAAUACCUCCUGUUGUGUUUUACAAAAAUAAAGAGAGAAGGAAUAUGCUUGA